This 72-nucleotide transfer RNA is filed under the name Caudoviricetes sp. RNAcentral's name for it is "tRNA-OTHER". It matches the Rfam family "tRNA". Rfam says of the family: Transfer RNA (tRNA) molecules are approximately 80 nucleotides in length. The record is from RNAcentral. Lineage: Duplodnaviria; Heunggongvirae; Uroviricota; Caudoviricetes.
GGUAGCUCAGUCGGUUAGAGCAAUCUCACAAUUAGGUAUGGGUCGUGGGUUCAAGUCCCACCAUCAGUAUCA